This 459-nucleotide ribosomal RNA is filed under the name uncultured bacterium. Its description in RNAcentral is "partial 16S ribosomal RNA". It matches the Rfam family "Bacterial small subunit ribosomal RNA", at positions 339 to 795 of the family's 1533-position model. The record is from RNAcentral.
CUACGGGGCGCAGCAGUAAGGAAUAUUGCGCAAUGGAGGCAACUCUGACGCAGCCAUGCCGCGUGCAGGAAGAAGGCCUUAUGGGUCGUAAACUGCUUUUAUUUAGGAAUAAACCCCCGAACGUGUUCGGGGCUGAAGGUACUAAACGAAUAAGCACCGGCUAACUCCGUGCCAGCAGCCGCGGUAAUACGGAGGGUGCAAGCGUUAUCCGGAUUUAUUGGGUUUAAAGGGUGCGCAGGCGGGCUAUUAAGUCAGUGGUGAAAUCCCGGGGCUCAACUCCGGAACUGCCAUUGAUACUGAUAGUCUUGAGUUUGGUUGAAGUGGGCGGAAUGUAGCAUGUAGCGGUGAUAUGCAUAGAUAUGCUACAGAACACCAAUCGCGAAGGCAGCUCACUAAGCCAAAACUGACGCUCAUGCACGAAAGCGUGGGGAUCAAACAGGAUUAGAUACCCCGGUAGUC